ACCCUCCAGCACACACAGCGCAGCUCUGAUCAUCAGCUGCGCCCACAUGCCUUUCUCUGCCAGUUGCAGGUGGGGGGAAGGACCUGCGAUAACGCUCCUUUGUGCACGAAGGAUGCAGCAGUCUGACACCAGUUCUUGGGAUAAGAAUCAAUGUGACAUCUAUAGUGGAAGAAUGGGAGGAAGCCUGGCUAAAGGAAAGGGCCGAGCCUCUGGGAGAGGAAACACGGUCAGUGGAGGCAAAGUGCUGCUCAGAUGCAACGGUGACGCAACUAAACCUGAUCCUAGAACUGUGUUGCUCGUUUUGGCAACAUGGUGGAGUUGCUCUGUUUAGUUGGUUGUUUUUGGCGGCUUACACUUUGCACGUUCGGACAGUUGUUCUCUCUGGUUCUGGAUGCUGUGCAAAUGGAAGGAUAUUUGCUCUUACUUUCUUUUUCUU
Long non-coding RNA from Poecilia latipinna (sailfin molly), 436 nucleotides. RefSeq lists it as uncharacterized. The transcript is spliced from 3 exons. NCBI's taxonomy places the organism in Eukaryota, Metazoa, Chordata, Actinopteri, Cyprinodontiformes, Poeciliidae. The record is from RefSeq and is a predicted model, not a curated record.